This 30-nucleotide transfer RNA is filed under the name Bursina fijiensis. RNAcentral describes it as "partial tRNA-Leu". Lineage: Eukaryota; Metazoa; Mollusca; Gastropoda; Littorinimorpha; Bursidae. The record is from RNAcentral.
AUAAAGGUGGCAGAUAAAGUGCAUUAGGUU